Long non-coding RNA from Oncorhynchus kisutch (coho salmon), 504 nucleotides. RefSeq lists it as uncharacterized. Lineage: Eukaryota; Metazoa; Chordata; Actinopteri; Salmoniformes; Salmonidae. The record is from RefSeq and is a predicted model, not a curated record. The transcript has 3 exons.
UUUGGCACAGCAACCAAGAGAAAUAACCAUGGAGUACUCAGCGGUCCCCUCUGUGACUUUGAUCAUUGGUUGUGGUCUGUCCUGUCUCGCCUUGAUCCUGUUGCUAGUGGUCUAUGCUAUUCUAUGGAGAUAUAUACGGUCUGAGCGGUCCAUCAUCCUAAUCAACUUCUGCCUGUCAAUCAUCUCCUCCAACCUCCUCAUCCUGGUUGGACAGACACAGACACACAAUGCGGUAAGAUUCCAUGUUGUACUGCAUGCGCUUUAACUGCUUUACUCAAACACACGACUCACAAUGCAGGUUGUGUUUAUAUGUUGUAUUGGAAGAGACAUACCUGUACAUACAGGCAAUUCAUGCACUUUAACAUGCUUUAAUCAACAACAGACACACUGUGGUACAUUACAUGUCUAUUUAUCUUGUUGGCAAGUGGAGUGUUGUUGGCAAACUUUACUCAACCACAGUAGCUGUUUAACCACUCUACUGAUACUCACUGUAGUUUAACCACU